GACGAACGCUGGCGGCGUGCUUAACACAUGCAAGUCGAACGGAAAGGCCCUGCUUUUGUGGGGUGCUCGAGUGGCGAACGGGUGAGUAACACGUGAGUAACCUGCCCUUGACUUUGGGAUAACUUCAGGAAACUGGGGCUAAUACCGGAUAGGAGCUCCUGCUGCAUGGUGGGGGUUGGAAAGUUUCGGCGGUUGGGGAUGGACUCGCGGCUUAUCAGCUUGUUGGUGGGGUAGUGGCUUACCAAGGCUUUGACGGGUAGCCGGCCUGAGAGGGUGACCGGCCACAUUGGGACUGAGAUACGGCCCAGACUCCUACGGUAGGCAGCGGUGGGGAAUAUUGCACAAUGGGCGGGAGCCUGAUGCAGCAACGCCGCGUGCGGGAUGACGGGCUGCGGGUUGUGAACCGCUUUCGCCUGUGACGAAGCGUUAGUGACGGUAAUGGGUAAAGAAGCACCGGCUAACUACGUG
RNAcentral lists this ribosomal RNA (468 nucleotides) under uncultured bacterium. Its description in RNAcentral is "partial 16S ribosomal RNA". It matches the Rfam family "Bacterial small subunit ribosomal RNA", at positions 28 to 507 of the family's 1533-position model. The record is from RNAcentral.